RNAcentral lists this long non-coding RNA (284 nucleotides) under Homo sapiens (human). Lineage: Eukaryota; Metazoa; Chordata; Mammalia; Primates; Hominidae. The record is from RNAcentral.
GAAUAGGGUGUCCUUUCCCCACUUUAUGUUUUUGUUUGCUUGGUUGAAGAUCAGUUGGCUGGAGAACGUGUGCAGUGGGCUGAAUGAUGACCCUAAAAACCUGCGAACGUGACCUUAUUUGGAAACGGGGUCUUUGCAGAUGUAAUUAAAGAUUUUGAGAUGAAGUGGUCAUCCUGAUUAUCCAAGUGAGCCUGAAAUCCAAUGACACAUGUCCUGAUAAAGGACACACAGAGGAAAAGACAGAAACAUGGAUGAAAAGGCAAAGUGAAGACAGAGCAAAGCCG